Molecule: ribosomal RNA, 429 nt
Filed under: uncultured archaeon
Lineage: Archaea
Description: bacterial SSU rRNA
Rfam family: Archaeal small subunit ribosomal RNA
Source: RNAcentral
CACCAGCCCCUCGAGUGGUGGGGAUGAUUAUUUGGCCUAAAGCGUCCGUAGCCGGCCGGGUAAGUUUCCCGUUAAAUCCAGCGUCUCAAGCGUUGGACUGCGGGAAAUACUGCCUGGCUAGAGAGUGGGAGAGGUCAGCGGUAUUCUGGGGGUAGGGGCGAAGUCCUUUGAUCCCCGGAGGACCACCAGUGGCGAAGGCUGCUGACUAGAACACGUCUGACGGUCAGGGACGAAAGCUGGGGUAGCGAACCGGAUUAGAUACCCGGGUAGUCCCAGCCGUAAACGAUGCAUGCUAGGUGUUGGGUUGGCCACGAGCCACCCCAGUGCCGCAGGGAAGCCGUUAAGCAUGCCGCCUGGGAAGUACGAUCGCAAGAUUGAAACUUAAAGGAAUUGGCGGGGGAGCACCACCAGGCGUGAAGCCUGCGGUUU